CAACGAUUUUGCCUCUUAGUCGGAAUCGCGUUUUGCACAAAGUAUACAUUGCCAAGUUCUGAAUAUCCGUAAUCCUGAAUGCUUAUCCAAGGACUACUAUCCACAGAUAACCGGGAACCAGAAAUUACAAAAUUGCGCUUUUCAGGAUCAAUUAUAUGCCUUUCUGCAAAACUAGAGUCUUUUGUAUUCACAUCAGAACCUGUUAAAGAUGGAACAACAACCGGAUACCCACUGUCUAACAUAUCCAACAUUUCAAACUUAUCAAGAAGCUCCAAAAACUCUUUUCUCCCUCCGGCAAUAAUCAUGUCCUUUUGUGAAACCGAAAAUGGUAAUUUAACCUUGUCCACUAAAUGCACCACUCCAUCU
Schizosaccharomyces pombe (fission yeast) is the source of this 366-nucleotide non-coding RNA. The record is from the annotation of a GenBank genome assembly. Lineage: Eukaryota; Fungi; Ascomycota; Schizosaccharomycetes; Schizosaccharomycetales; Schizosaccharomycetaceae.